This 1766-nucleotide ribosomal RNA is filed under the name Salmonella enterica. RNAcentral describes it as "partial 23S ribosomal RNA". It matches the Rfam family "Bacterial large subunit ribosomal RNA", at positions 1195 to 2925 of the family's 2925-position model. Lineage: Bacteria; Pseudomonadati; Pseudomonadota; Gammaproteobacteria; Enterobacterales; Enterobacteriaceae. The record is from RNAcentral.
CGAAGCUGCGGCAGCGACACUCAUGUGUUGUUGGGUAGGGGAGCGUUCUGUAAGCCUGUGAAGGUGUGUCGUGAGGCAUGCUGGAGGUAUCAGAAGUGCGAAUGCUGACAUAAGUAACGAUAAAGCGGGUGAAAAGCCCGCUCGCCGGAAGACCAAGGGUUCCUGUCCAACGUUAAUCGGGGCAGGGUGAGUCGACCCCUAAGGCGAGGCCGAAAGGCGUAGUCGAUGGGAAACGGGUUAAUAUUCCCGUACUUGGUGUUACUGCGAAGGGGGGACGGAGAAGGCUAUGUUGGCCGGGCGACGGUUGUCCCGGUUUAAGCGUGUAGGUGUGUGUUCCAGGUAAAUCCGGUUCACUUUAACACUGAGGCGUGACGACGAGGCACUACGGUGCUGAAGCAACAAAUGCCCUGCUUCCAGGAAAAGCCUCUAAGCAUCAGGUAACAUCAAAUCGUACCCCAAACCGACACAGGUGGUCAGGUAGAGAAUACCAAGGCGCUUGAGAGAACUCGGGUGAAGGAACUAGGCAAAAUGGUGCCGUAACUUCGGGAGAAGGCACGCUGACACGUAGGUGAAGUGAUUUACUCAUGGAGCUGAAGUCAGUCGAAGAUACCAGCUGGCUGCAACUGUUUAUUAAAAACACAGCACUGUGCAAACACGAAAGUGGACGUAUACGGUGUGACGCCUGCCCGGUGCCGGAAGGUUAAUUGAUGGGGUCAGCGCAAGCGAAGCUCCUGAUCGAAGCCCCGGUAAACGGCGGCCGUAACUAUAACGGUCCUAAGGUAGCGAAAUUCCUUGUCGGGUAAGUUCCGACCUGCACGAAUGGCGUAAUGAUGGCCAGGCUGUCUCCACCCGAGACUCAGUGAAAUUGAACUCGCUGUGAAGAUGCAGUGUACCCGCGGCAAGACGGAAAGACCCCGUGAACCUUUACUAUAGCUUGACACUGAACAUUGAGCCUUGAUGUGUAGGAUAGGUGGGAGGCUUUGAAGUGUGGACGCCAGUCUGCAUGGAGCCGACCUUGAAAUACCACCCUUUAAUGUUUGAUGUUCUAACGUGGACCCGUGAUCCGGGUUGCGGACAGUGUCUGGUGGGUAGUUUGACUGGGGCGGUCUCCUCCUAAAGAGUAACGGAGGAGCACGAAGGUUGGCUAAUCCUGGUCGGACAUCAGGAGGUUAGUGCAAUGGCAUAAGCCAGCUUGACUGCGAGCGUGACGGCGCGAGCAGGUGCGAAAGCAGGUCAUAGUGAUCCGGUGGUUCUGAAUGGAAGGGCCAUCGCUCAACGGAUAAAAGGUACUCCGGGGAUAACAGGCUGAUACCGCCCAAGAGUUCAUAUCGACGGCGGUGUUUGGCACCUCGAUGUCGGCUCAUCACAUCCUGGGGCUGAAGUAGGUCCCAAGGGUAUGGCUGUUCGCCAUUUAAAGUGGUACGCGAGCUGGGUUUAGAACGUCGUGAGACAGUUCGGUCCCUAUCUGCCGUGGGCGCUGGAGAACUGAGGGGGGCUGCUCCUAGUACGAGAGGACCGGAGUGGACGCAUCACUGGUGUUCGGGUUGUCAUGCCAAUGGCACUGCCCGGUAGCUAAAUGCGGAAGAGAUAAGUGCUGAAAGCAUCUAAGCACGAAACUUGCCCCGAGAUGAGUUCUCCCUGAGACUUAGAGUCUCCUGAAGGAACGUUGAAGACGACGACGUUGAUAGGCCGGGUGUGUAAGCGCAGCGAUGCGUUGAGCUAACCGGUACUAAUGAACCGUGAGGCUUAACCUUACAACGCCGAAG